This 729-nucleotide ribosomal RNA is filed under the name uncultured fungus. RNAcentral's name for it is "eukaryotic LSU rRNA". The stretch from base 309 to 462 matches the Rfam family "5.8S ribosomal RNA". The record is from RNAcentral. Lineage: Eukaryota; Fungi.
UCUUGGUCAUUUAGAGGAAGUAAAAGUCGUAACAAGGUUUCCGUAGGUGAACCUGCGGAAGGAUCAUUAUUGAAUAAGCUGGUUGGGUUGUUGCUGGCUCUCCGGGGCAUGUGCACACCUGACACCAACUUUUUACCACCUGUGCACCUUCUGUAGACCUGGAUAAACUCUCGAGGGAACUCGGUUUGAGGACUGCUGUGUGUAAAAGCCAGCUUUCCUUGUAACUUCCGGUCUAUGUCUUUAUAUACACCCCUACAGUAUGUCUAAGAAUGUUUGUUGUUGGGCUUCAAUGCCUUUAAACUUAAUACAACUUUCAACAACGGAUCUCUUGGCUCUCGCAUCGAUGAAGAACGCAGCGAAAUGCGAUAAGUAAUGUGAAUUGCAGAAUUCAGUGAAUCAUCGAAUCUUUGAACGCACCUUGCGCUCCUUGGUAUUCCGAGGAGCAUGCCUGUUUGAGUGUCAUGAAAUUCUCAACCUUUUCAGCUUUCUUUGUUGAUCAGGCUUGGAUGUGGGAGUAUGCGGGCUUCUCAGAAGUCGGCUCUCCUGAAAUGCAUUAGCGGGACCUUUGUUGCCUGGCUUUGGUGUGAUAAUUAUCUACGCCAUUGUAGUCAAGCAGCUUAAAAUGAGGUUUCAGCUUCUAACCGUCUCCCCUGAGACAACUUUUUGACAAUUUGACCUCAAAUCAUGUAGGACUACCCGCUGAACUUAAGCAUAUCAAUAAGCGGAGGA